GCGGAACACGUGUGCAACCUGCCUUUAUCUGGGGGAUAGCCUUUCGAAAGGAAGAUUAAUACCCCAUAAUAUGUUGAAUGGCAUCAUUCGACAUUGAAAACUCCGGUGGAUAGAGAUGGGCACGCGCAAGAUUAGAUAGUUGGUGAGGUAACGGCUCACCAAGUCUACGAAUCUUUAGGGGCCUGAAGGGUGAUCCCCCACACUGGUACUGAACACGGACCAACUCCUACGGGAGGCAGCAGUGAGGAAUAUUGGACAAUGGGUGAGAGCCUGAUCCAGCCAUCCCGCGUGAAGGACGACUGCCCUAUGGGUUGUAAACUUCUUUUGUAUAGGGAUAAACCUACCCUCGUGAGGGUAGCUGAAGGUACUAUACGAAUAAGCACCGGCUAACUCCGUGCCAACAGCCGCGGUAAUACGGAGGGUGCAAGCGUUAUCCGGAUUUAUUGGGUUUAAAGGGUCCGUAGGCGGAUCUGUAAGUCAGUGGUGAAAUCUCACAGCUUAACUGUGAAACUGCCAUUGAUACUGCAGGUCUUGAGUGUUGUUGAAGUAGCUGGAAUAAGUAGUGUAGCGGUGAAAUGCAUAGAUUUUACUUAGAACACC
Molecule: ribosomal RNA, 600 nt
Filed under: uncultured bacterium
Lineage: Bacteria
Description: bacterial SSU rRNA
Rfam family: Bacterial small subunit ribosomal RNA
Source: RNAcentral